AGCAGUAGCCACGGUAAUACGGAGGGGGCUAGCGUUGUUCGGAAUUACUGGGCGUAAAGCGCGCGUAGGCGGCUUGGUAAGUUAGAGGUGAAAGCCUGGGGCUCAACCCCAGAAUUGCCUUUAAGACUGCCGAGCUAGUAGGUGAGAGAAGUAAGUGGAGUUCCGAGUGUAGAGGUGAAAUUCGUAGAUAUUCGGAAGAACACCAGUGGCGAAGGCGGCUUACUGGCUCAUUCUAGACGCUGAGGUGCGAAAGCGUGGGGAGCAAACAGGAUUAGAUACCCCCGUAGUCCCUGUCUCUUAUAC
Molecule: ribosomal RNA, 303 nt
Filed under: uncultured bacterium
Lineage: Bacteria
Description: partial 16S ribosomal RNA
Rfam family: Bacterial small subunit ribosomal RNA
Source: RNAcentral